RNAcentral lists this unclassified non-coding RNA (334 nucleotides) under uncultured Glomerales. RNAcentral describes it as "sequence contains 18S rRNA gene". The record is from RNAcentral. RNAcentral also lists the same sequence under 1 other name. Lineage: Eukaryota; Fungi; Glomeromycota; Glomeromycetes; Glomerales; Glomeraceae.
CCCAACUAUCCCUAUUAAUCAUUACGUCGAUCCUAGAAACCAACAAAAUAGGGUCAAACGUCCUAUUUCAUUAUUCCAUGCUAAUGUAUUCAAGCGUGUGCCUGCUUUAAACACUCUAAUUUUUUCAAAGUAACGGUCCUGAUUCCCCAUGACACCAAAUUAAUGACAUCACAGUUCGUCAGAAGGUAGAAAUCAAUAAUACCAGUGCAUACCAGAGGCACGACCAAUAUAUUGAUCCCGAAAUUCAACUACGAGCUUUUUAACUGCAACAACUUUAAUAUACGCUAUUGGAGCUGGAAUUACCGCGGCUGCUGGCACCAGACUUGCCCUCCAA